RNAcentral lists this long non-coding RNA (885 nucleotides) under Venturia canescens. Its description in RNAcentral is "uncharacterized LOC122408977, transcript variant X3". Lineage: Eukaryota; Metazoa; Arthropoda; Insecta; Hymenoptera; Ichneumonidae. The record is from RNAcentral.
GAAUCGCAAAGUAGAAGGGGAAAAAUGGAUAUCUCCGAAUUGCGUCAUCUCAUACAACCUGUAUGCUGAUACUCAGAAAAGUUACUACUUUUCUUUUUUUUCUUGUUUUUCUCUCGCGGUGAACGGUACAGCGAGACGGAAUGGUGACGGCUUUAGAGAGGGUAAUGAAGAACCAGGAGGCAGAAUAAAUUAUGAGAAACCAAGGUAAUUGUGUUUUAUUUUCAGGAGGCGAUAGGCGCCAAAUAAAUGAUGAAUAAUGUGAGAAACAGGCGUGCUCCGAAGAGACACUCGUAAAGCUGUGGCGUAACUCCCGAAACCUCUCACACAGCUCAUUCGCACACACAGGCGUACUCACACAGACGCAAUCACUGGGCACUAGUAGUGACCUAGGCCACACACACAGAUUAACACGCAGCGUAACUAUACGAUGGUCUGCACGGUCUGCACCGAGUAUGCACGCGACUUUUUAUCCCGGGUGCAUACACACGAUGUAGAAGCUCCCGCGUCCGGUUACUUCCAGCCUCGUGCUCAGACUAACUUCUUCCGCCGGCGCCAGUAUUCCAAGAUGGCUCCUUCGGGAAGCCUCUAUACCCGCGUGAUUUUUUUAUUUUUUUUUUAUUGAGAAUGUACAACAACGUACAUAGAGGUAGAAAAAAAAAGUAGAACAGCUUUAGGACGUCUGUCCCAUCUAUAGCUGAGAGUACGUAACUUUGGUUUGCGCGGGCUCUCGUGUAUAGACGCGCGUCUCCACAUUUCAUGGACGUCGGUCCUUAAAUUAUGACUUACUACUAAAACUAAAAACUAAGCUAUAUAUUGUAUUAAACUUUAUAAUAAAACAUAAGACAAAGUAACAGUUUUUUCACUGAUGUGAAAGAAGUUAGCGAG